AUGUUUCCUUUUUUUGGUCUAACCUGUCGUAAUUUUGUCUCGUCGGUCCAUCUAUAUGAGAACCUUCGAAGUGGAAGUCACAAGGUGGAGCCUUUGACAGGAAAAUGUUUCCUGUGUUUUGGUCUAACCUGUCGUAAUUUUGUCUCGUCGGUCCAUCUAUAUGAGAACCUUCGAAGUGGAAGUCACAAGGUGGAGCCUUUGACAGGAAAAUGUUUCCUGUUUUUUGGUCUAACCUGUCGUAAUUUUUUCUCGUUGGUCCAUCUAUACGAGAACCUUCUAUGUGGAAGUCACAUGGUGGAGUCUCAGUAUGUUUUUAUUCAAGGUAAGCUGAAAAGUUUUUACAUGAUAUUUGAACUGAAACUUAACUAUGUCAUGACUGAUACUUCAUUUAAGACUCCUGGCUGA
Molecule: ribosomal RNA, 405 nt
Filed under: Triticum aestivum (bread wheat)
Lineage: Eukaryota; Viridiplantae; Streptophyta; Magnoliopsida; Poales; Poaceae
Description: partial small subunit ribosomal RNA
Source: RNAcentral